Oxyura jamaicensis (ruddy duck) is the source of this 155-nucleotide long non-coding RNA. RefSeq lists it as uncharacterized. The record is from RefSeq and is a predicted model, not a curated record. The transcript has 3 exons. Lineage: Eukaryota; Metazoa; Chordata; Aves; Anseriformes; Anatidae.
AAAGUGUUGUUGAUAACCAUAGAAUCAUUACAGUUGGAAAAAGCCUCCAAGCUCAUCUGGUCCAACCAUCCCCCUACCACCAAUGUCACCCACUGAACCAUGUCCCUAAGCACGAGGUCCAACCUUUCCUUGAACACCACCUGGGACGGUGACUC